ACCGCAUUCGUCUAGUGGUUUAGGAUACCAGGUUUUCAUCUCACUUUGUGAUAAUUCCCUGGGGGCCGGAGUUCGAACCUCCGAUGCGGUG
This is a non-coding RNA of Xylariaceae sp. FL0255, 91 nucleotides long. The record is from the annotation of a GenBank genome assembly. Lineage: Eukaryota; Fungi; Ascomycota; Sordariomycetes; Xylariales; Xylariaceae.